RNAcentral lists this ribosomal RNA (353 nucleotides) under uncultured bacterium. Its description in RNAcentral is "bacterial SSU rRNA". It matches the Rfam family "Bacterial small subunit ribosomal RNA", at positions 920 to 1269 of the family's 1533-position model. The record is from RNAcentral.
GACCCCGCACAAGCGGCGGAGCAUGCGGCUUAAUUCGAUGAUACCCGUAGAACCUUACCUGGACUUGACAUAUGAAGGGAAAGCAUAAAGAAAUUUUAGUGUGCGUAAGCGCCCUAUACAGGUGGUGCAUGGCUGUCGUCAGCUCGUGUCGUGAGAUGUUGGGUUAAGUCCCGCAACGAGCGCAACCCCCUGUCCUAUGUUGCCAGCAAGUAAUGUUGGGGACUCAUAGGAGACUGCCGUGAUAAACCGGAGGAAGGUGGGACGACGUCAAGUCAUCAUGCCCCUUAUGUCCAGGGCUGCACGCAUGCUACAAUGGCAAGUACAACGAGUCGCAAUACCGCGAGGUGGGAGCA